UUUCCGUAGGUGAACCUGCGGAAGGAUCAUUAAAUAGUACCACAGAUUACAUAUGCAAAUAUGACAAUCUACUACUAUAUACCAUUCCGAGUACUCUUUUUCCAUGUUGCUUCCGCGAGGCAGUCACUUCAAGUGGCCGUUUGCUCCGGAUCUCCCUUCUUGGAGAGCCGGCUGGGGGAGAGAUUUCCUUGCGAAAGGUCAAUUACAAAUCCAAUUAUGUUUUGAUUUUGUGUCUGAAUAGAUUUUUUUUUUCUUUCUUUUUUUAAUUAAUAAAUACAAAAAAAAUAAAAUAAAAUACAAAACUUUCAACAACGGAUCUCUUGGUUCUC
RNAcentral lists this unclassified non-coding RNA (329 nucleotides) under plant metagenome. RNAcentral's name for it is "partial contains small subunit ribosomal RNA, internal transcribed spacer 1, and 5.8S ribosomal RNA". The record is from RNAcentral.